GGGUGGGUCCGGCGCGGCGGAAACCUGCGAACCCCGCCAGGUCCGAGAGGAAGCAACGGUAAGGAGGAAAUUCUGGGUGCCGUCGGGUAGCUUGCCCGGG
RNAcentral lists this signal recognition particle RNA (100 nucleotides) under Anaerolineales bacterium. RNAcentral's name for it is "signal recognition particle sRNA small type". It matches the Rfam family "Bacterial small signal recognition particle RNA". Rfam says of the family: The signal recognition particle (SRP) is a universally conserved ribonucleoprotein involved in the co-translational targeting of proteins to membranes. Archaeal SRP consists of a 7S RNA and homologues of the eukaryotic SRP19 and SRP54 proteins. In most bacteria, the SRP consists of a 4.5S RNA and the Ffh protein (a homologue of the eukaryotic SRP54 protein). Lineage: Bacteria; Bacillati; Chloroflexota; Anaerolineae; Anaerolineales. The record is from RNAcentral.